CUAAUGGCUAACGAAGAACU
Molecule: small nuclear RNA, 20 nt
Filed under: Arabidopsis thaliana (thale cress)
Lineage: Eukaryota; Viridiplantae; Streptophyta; Magnoliopsida; Brassicales; Brassicaceae
Description: snRNA_10407
Source: RNAcentral